This is a long non-coding RNA of Helianthus annuus (common sunflower), 631 nucleotides long. RefSeq lists it as uncharacterized. The record is from RefSeq and is a predicted model, not a curated record. NCBI's taxonomy places the organism in Eukaryota, Viridiplantae, Streptophyta, Magnoliopsida, Asterales, Asteraceae. The transcript has 4 exons.
UCAAACUGAAACCGUCUAAAUUGAUAAUCACCUUCUUCAAUGAGCAAUUCAAUUCAUACCUUUAAGUCUUCAACCCCUCCAACUUCACUUAAAUCCAACCUAAUUGACACCAGCCUUCAAUUCGGCAAACCACAGGGAAAUCAAGCAAAUUAGACUUUAAUUUAUUCAAUGGAGCAUGCCUUCAAUUCGAUUUCGGUAUCCUCAUCACCCCUGGUCUUUUUAAUCCCAUCCCUUGGUUGUUCAUGCCAUAUUUUGAGCUGAACUUGAACAAAACAUAGCAAUAACCGGAAUAUCUAAAGCCACCAGCUAUGGAGUCUGUGCUCUCCUUCUAUUUGCCACCAUAAUUGAUUCUUUCAUCUCAACAUCCCAACGCAGUCAGAGGAGUCAGAGGAUGAGAGAGAGAUGUUUGCAAGAAGGUCUAUUGUACAAGUAUCUACAAGCAGGUUUCUCAAACCGAGGUCAAGAAUUUUUUUCGAAACAAGAUGCGGCGAGGAUAAAGCAAUGUGGUCUUAUGAUACUAGGGUGAAAAUCAUUAACGACCUUUCAAAGUUGCAAUUACCCAGGUGAAUUAGCCUCCAGAUACAAUAAAUCGACUGGCUGGAGUUAAUUAGCAAUCAAGUUGUCACCUUAU